RNAcentral lists this ribosomal RNA (253 nucleotides) under uncultured bacterium. RNAcentral describes it as "partial 16S ribosomal RNA". It matches the Rfam family "Bacterial small subunit ribosomal RNA", at positions 524 to 776 of the family's 1533-position model. The record is from RNAcentral.
UACGGAGGGUGCAAGCGUUGUCCGGAUUUAUUGGGUUUAAAGGGUGCGUAGGCGGCCCUGUAAGUCAGUGGUGAAAUGCGGCAGCUUAACUGUCGAACUGCCAUUGAUACUGCAGGGCUUGAGUACAGACGAGGUAGGCGGAAUUUAUGGUGUAGCGGUGAAAUGCAUAGAUACCAUAAAGAACACCUAUUGCGAAGGCAGCUUACUAGGCUGUAACUGACGCUGAGGCACGAAAGCGUGGGGAGCGAACAGG